This is a long non-coding RNA of Zonotrichia albicollis (white-throated sparrow), 2336 nucleotides long. The record is from Ensembl. Lineage: Eukaryota; Metazoa; Chordata; Aves; Passeriformes; Passerellidae.
UUGUGCCAAGAGGGGCUCAGGUUGGAGGAAAUGGACUCAAAUUGUGCCAGGUUGGGGGAAAUGACCUCAAAUUGUGCCAGGGGAGGUUCAGAUUGAAGGAAAUGCCCUGAAAUUGUGCCAGGGGGGCUCAGGUUAUCCCAAAUUGUGCCAGGGGGGCUCAGGUUGGAGGAAAUGCCCUCAAAUUGUUCCAAGAGUGUUCAGGCUGUAGGAAAUGCCCUCAAAUUGUGCCAGGCAGGUUCAGGCUGUAGGAAAUGAUCCCAAAUUGUGCCAGGUUGGAGGAAAUGCCUCCAAAUUGUGCCAGGAGAGGCUCAGGUUGGGGGAAAUGAUCCCAAAUGGUGCCAGGUUGGAGGAAAUGACCCCAAAUUGUGCCAGGCAGGUUCAGGCUGGAGGAAAUGCCCUCAAAUUGUUCCAAGAGGGUACAGGUUGUGUGAAAUUACCUCAAAUUGUGCCAGGGGGGCUCAGGUUGGAGGAAAUGACCCCAAAUUGUGCCAGGUUGGAAGAAAUGACCCCAAAUUGUGCCGGGGGGGUCAGGUUGGACAUUUGGGGGGUCAAACCCUGGAGCAGCCGCCCUGGUGGGAUCCCCAUCCCUGGAAAUGCCCAGACCCACACGGAUGGGGGGGACGGGGUUAAUGCUGGGGUUAAUUUUAAAGCCUUCAUUAAAAUUUUAAUUUUAAUUAAUUUUAAUGCUGGGUCACCGGCUGGGUUUGCACCACAGCGGGAUGGGAGCACAAAACUGGCCAGGAAUCGGUUUCUGUGUCAGGAAUUGUUUCUGUGUCACAAAUCUGGGGUUUUGGUCACAAAUCUGUUUUUAUUGGUCACAAAUAUGCUUGUGUGUCACAAAUCUGUUUGUGUGUCACAAAUCUGGUUUUUGGUCACAAAUCUGUUUCUGUGUCACAAAUCUCAUUUUUUGGUCACAAAUCUGUUUCUCUGUCACAAAUCUGUUUUUCUGGUCACAAAUCUGGUUUUUUGGUCACAAAUCUGGGUUUUGGUCACAAAUCUGUUUCUGUGUCACAAAUCUCAUUUUUUGGUCACAAAUCUGGUUUUUGGUCACAAAUCUGUUUUUCUGGUCACAAAUCUGGUUUUUUGGUCACAAAUCUCUUUGUGUGUCACAAAUCUNCCCAAAUUGUGCCAGGAGAGGCUCAGGUUGGAGGAAAUGACCCCAAAUUGUGCCAGGUUGGAAGAAAUGCCUCCAAAUUGUGCCAGGGGGGCUCAGGUUGGAGGAAAUGGACUCAAAUUGUGCCAGGUUGGGGGAAAUUAUCCCAAAUUGUGCCAGGGGGGUUCAGGUUAUCCCAAAUUGUGCCAGGGCAGGCUCAGGUUGGAGGAAAUGACCCCAAAUUGUGCCAGGUUGGAGGAAAUGCCCUCAAACUGUGCCAGGUUGGAGGAAAUGACCUCAAAUUGUGCCAGGGGAGGCUCAGGUUGGAGGAAAUGCCUUCAAAUUGUGCCAGGUUGGAGGAAAUGCCCUCAAAUUGUGCCAGGUUGGAGGAAAUGCCCUCAAAUUGUUCCAAGAGAGUACAGGUUGGGUGAAAUUACCUCAAAUUGUGCCAGAGGAGGCUCAGGUUGGAGGAAAUGGACUCAAAUUGUGCCAGGUUGGGGGAAAUUAUCCCAAAUUGUGCCAGGGGGGCUCAGGUUAUCCCAAAUUGUGCCAGGGCAGGUUCAGGUUGGAGGAAAUGAACUCAAAUUGUGCCAGGUUGGAGGAAAUGACCCCAAAUUGUGCCAGGGGGGCUCAGGUUGGGGGAAAUGCCCUUAAAUUGUGCCGGGGGGGCUCAGGUUAUCCCAAAUUGUGCCACGAGAGGCUCAGGUUGGAGGAAAUGCCCUCAAAUUGUGCCAGGUUGGGGGAAAUGACCUCAAAUUGUGCCAGGUUGGAGGAAAUGACCUCAAAUUGUGCCAGGGGAGGUUCAGAUUGAAGGAAAUGCCCUGAAAUUGUGCCGGGGGGGCUCAGGUUAUCCCAAAUUGUGCCAGGAGAGGCUCAGGCUGGAGGAAAUGACCCCAAAUUGUUCCAAGAGGGUACAGGUUGGGUGAAAUUACCUCAAAUUGUGCCAGGGGGGCUCAGGUUAUCCCAAAUUGUGCCAGGGGAGGCUCAGGUUGGAGGAAAUGACCCCAAAUUGUGCCAGGUUGGGGGAAAUUAUCCCAAAUUGUGCCAGGGGGGCUCAGGUUAUCCCAAAUUGUGCCAGGGCAGGAUCAGGUGGGAGGAAAUGCCCUCAGAUUGUUCCAGGUUGGAGGAAAUGACCCCAAAUUGUUCCAAGAGUGUUCAGGCUGUAGGAAAUGCCCUCAAAUUGUGCCAGGUUGGAGGAAAUGCCCUCAAAUUGUGCCAGGAGAGGCUCAGGUUGGAGGAAAUG